RNAcentral lists this ribosomal RNA (460 nucleotides) under uncultured bacterium. RNAcentral's name for it is "partial 16S ribosomal RNA". It matches the Rfam family "Bacterial small subunit ribosomal RNA", at positions 338 to 795 of the family's 1533-position model. The record is from RNAcentral.
CCUACGGGUGGCAGCAGUGAGGAAUAUUGGUCAAUGGGCGCGAGCCUGAACCAGCCAAGUAGCGUGAAGGAUGACUGCCCUACGGGUUGUAAACUUCUUUUGCCGGGGAGCAACGGGCGUCACGUGUGGCGCCACUGAGCGUACCCGGAUAAACAGCAUCGGCUAACUCCGUGCCAGCCGCCGCGGUAAUACGGAGGAUGCGAGGGUUGUACGGAUUUAUUGGGUUUAAAGGGUGCGUAGGCGGAUCGUUAAGUCAGUGGUCAAAUUGAGGGGCUCACCCCCAUCCCGCCAUUGAAACUGGCGCUCUUGAGUGGAAGAGAGGUAUGCGGAAUGCGGGGUGUAGCGGUGAAAUGCAUAGAUAUAACGCAGAACCCCGAUUGCGAAGGCAGCAUGCCGGCUUCCGACUGACGCUGAAGCACGAAAGCGUGGGGAGCGAACAGGAUUAGAUACCCGUGUAGUC